This is a long non-coding RNA of Xyrauchen texanus (razorback sucker), 396 nucleotides long. RefSeq lists it as uncharacterized. The transcript has 3 exons. NCBI's taxonomy places the organism in Eukaryota, Metazoa, Chordata, Actinopteri, Cypriniformes, Catostomidae. The record is from RefSeq and is a predicted model, not a curated record.
GGUCACAGGUGUGCUGGCUUCUGUUGUAGGGGUCCAUCUGGAUGUUUGGAAGUGGACCGUGGUCCCUGUAACUGUGUCCCAGUUACUGACAUUAGGAGAAAACUCAGACAGUGUAAUGGUGGAAGCCCUCCAGAAGGAGAGCUGUGUUUGGGGUAAUUACUGGCAUGAGAAUACUCUGAAAGAAGAGGAGAUGAUUGGAGAUUUUGACAGAGUCUUUAAACGCUAUCUCUGCACAACCAAAAAAGAGUCUGGCUUUAUAGACUGGAUGGUCACAGACAGGCAGCUAAGGGAGACAGCUGCUGAGAUUCAGGAAACUGCCCAGUGUGAAGCCCAGGGAAAAGCUCUCCAGAACUCAGAGUUUUCUCUGCUUCUACCAGCCCAAGUGUUACUCGCUCU